Molecule: non-coding RNA, 847 nt
Organism: Paramuricea clavata
Lineage: Eukaryota; Metazoa; Cnidaria; Anthozoa; Malacalcyonacea; Plexauridae
Source: the annotation of a GenBank genome assembly
GACCGGUCCCUAAUGGAAAAUUACUACAUAUUUGACAAUUCCAUAAUUUCGUUAUAGAUGGGUCGUCAUUUUUUAUAAGCCAUUAUAAGCCAUUUAAAACAACAACGGCCCAUGCUCGCAGUCCUUGCUUUACCAGAUAUAAAACACAGGCUCGAGUGACACUCGAGCUGCGCUCUCGUGUUUUCAGAUCUGUUAAAGCACUCGUGUUUUAAAUAGUACAUAUGGUAUAGCCAAAGUAUAAUUAUGUACAGCAUCAGAUAAGUCUUUGCGCCCUGCAUUACCAUCUAACCAUGCUAUAUAGAGUUAAUGCCUGAACCUAUGCUUCUUUAUUGACCCGUAGUACAAAUUCACUUAUAGGAUGUCUUAUAGCGAAAGCAACUGAAGUUCAUUAUUUCCUAUGCUGAGUAGGCCGAGUAGCACGUGUUCAUUUCAGCUAGCUGUCCUCCAGAUAUCAUGCACGAGCCACGAACUCAUUUUAAGUUCAACCACAAGUGGUCAAUAGUGAUAACUACCAACCAGUCAGGCGUCAGCUCUAUAUAUAUAUAUCUGUAAUUCGGUCUAUAUACGAAAAAUGAAGCCAAGAUGGCGGAAUUGACGUCCAAUAGCUAUGACCUAUGAAGUCGUAAGCUGUUUUAAUACCAUGUUUCCCCAGCUAAUUCCAGUUUUUUCUAACAGACCGUAUCGCUAAUAAAGUUAUCAGUUCAUAAAAUCAUAGUAUAUUAUUCUUUAAAUCGAAGUCAAAAGACAAAAUUUUGGCACACUCCUUGCAAACCGCGCAGACAAAAGCAAUAGAAAGGGAUUGAAACUGACGUCCAAUAGCUCCAUCUUCAACCUCGUACUAUUAACA